UGAACUGUGAAAGAUGGACGCUGCUUUGGAGACAAAGGAGAGGAAAGUCCGGGCACCGUAGGGUAAUGGUGCCGGCUAACGGCCGGUCAGGGUGACCUGAAGGAAAGUGCCACAGAAAAAAUACCGCCUCUUCGGGGGUAAGGGUGAAAAGGUGCGGUAAGAGCGCACCGCGGGCUUGGAGACAAGCCUGGCACGGUAAACCCCACCUGGUGAAAGGUUACGGUGAAGCUCGUCGUCUUGUGCCCGCAAGCUGAGCUUCUAAUGAGACCGCUCGAGAGUCGUGGCAACGCGGCCCUUAGAUGAAUGGCCAUCGAGGCAAGUCGAGCAAUCGCUUGCUAGACAGAAUCCGGCUUAAAGAUCAGUUCAACGA
This 370-nucleotide RNase P RNA is filed under the name Deltaproteobacteria bacterium. RNAcentral's name for it is "RNase P RNA component class A". It matches the Rfam family "Bacterial RNase P class A". Rfam says of the family: Ribonuclease P (RNase P) is a ubiquitous endoribonuclease, found in archaea, bacteria and eukarya as well as chloroplasts and mitochondria. The record is from RNAcentral. Lineage: Bacteria; Pseudomonadati; Myxococcota; Myxococcia.